Oncorhynchus tshawytscha (Chinook salmon) is the source of this 986-nucleotide long non-coding RNA. The record is from Ensembl. NCBI's taxonomy places the organism in Eukaryota, Metazoa, Chordata, Actinopteri, Salmoniformes, Salmonidae.
GACCUCUACUGUCUGCAGCUACUGACUCAAUGUUACUACCGCUACUGUCAAAAACUACUGUUUGUGUGCAAGUGAUAAUAAGGUAUGUUGUUUUGAAUGAAAUACAGGACAAUGAUCUCUAGAUACAGCUGAAAUACAGGACUAUGAUCUCUGAUACAGGACUAUGAUCUCUAAUGGUGAAAUACAGGACUAUGAUCUCUAAUGGUGAAAUACAGGACUAUGAUCUCUGAUACAGGACUAUGAUCUCUAAUGGUGAAAUACAGGACUAUGAUCUCUAAUGGUGAAAUACAGGACUAUGAUCUAUAAUGGUGAAAUACAGGACUAUGAUCUCUGAUACAGGACUAUGAUCUCUAAUGGUGAAAUACAGGACUAUGAUCUCUAAUGGUGAAAUACAGGACUAUGAUCUAUAAUGGUGAAAUACAGGACUAUGAUCUCUAAUGGUGAAAUACAGGACUAUGAUCUCUGAUACAGGUGAAAUACAGGACUAUGAUCUCUGAUACAGGACUAUGAUCUCUAAUGGUGAAAUACAGGACUAUGAUCUCUAAUGGUGAAAUACAGGACUAUGAUCUCUAGAUACAGCUGAAAUACAGGACUAUGAUCUCUGAUACAGGACAAUGAUCUCUAAGGAUGAAAUACAGGACUAUGAUCUCUGAUACAGGACUAUGAUCUCUAAUGGUGAAUUACAGGACUAUAAUCUCUAAUGGUGAAAUACAGGACUAUGAUCUCUAAUGGUGAAAUACAGGACUAUGAUCUCUAAUGGUGAAAUACAGGACUAUGAUCUCUAAUGGUGAAAUACAGGACUAUGAUCUGUGAUGAUGAAAUGUAUAUCUGUGCUGUUUGAUCAUGACUACUUGAAUUACAUUUGGUGGAAAUACAUAACGACGAACGCUGUAAUACUUUCAGAUGUUUAUUGAAUAAAUACUGGCAGAUGUAUGACUCAUCAUGCUGUGUGGUAACUUGAUGAAAUAGAGAAAAAAAAAGGGUAC